AGGGGAGCUUCCCAUACGGGUUGAAGCAUGACCGUAAGGACAUGUGGACAGUAUGGGAGUGAGAAUGUUGGCAUGAGUAGCGAGAUGUGGGUGAGAAUCCCACAGGCCGUAAACCCAAGGUUUCCAGGGGAAGGUUCGUCCGCCCUGGGUUAGUCGGAACCUAAGCUGAGGCCGAAAGGCGUAGGUGAUGGACAACAGGUUGAUAUUCCUGUACUACCGAUAACCAUUUGAGAGAAGGGAUGACACAGUAGGAUAAGCUAAGCACACUGUUGGUUAUGUGUGCCCAAGCAUUGAGGCAGUCAAAGUAGGCAAAUCCGCUUUGAUAAUGCUGGGAUGUGAUGGGGAGCGAAAUUUAGUAGCGAAGUAGCUGAUUUCACACUGUCAAGAAAAGUCUCUAUCGAG
Molecule: ribosomal RNA, 402 nt
Filed under: Clostridioides difficile
Lineage: Bacteria; Bacillati; Bacillota; Clostridia; Peptostreptococcales; Peptostreptococcaceae
Description: partial 23S ribosomal RNA
Rfam family: Bacterial large subunit ribosomal RNA
Source: RNAcentral